UCAUGGCUCAGGACGAACGCUGGCGGCGUGCUUCAUACAUGCAAGUCGAACGAUAAGGUCCUUCGGGAAUACAUAAGUGGCGGACGGGUGAGUAAUAUGUAGAGAAUCUGCCCUGAAGAGGGGGACAACAGAGGGAAACUUCUGCUAAUACCCCAUAUGCGCGUAGUUGGGAUACUAUUCGUGAAAGAUUUAUCGCUUCAGGAUGAGUCUGCAUCUGAUUAGCUAGUUGGGGGUGUAAUGGACCACCAAGGCGACGAUCAGUAGCUGGUUUGAGAGGAUGAUCAGCCACAAUGGGACUGAGACACGGCCCAUACUCCUACGGGAGGCAGCAGUAGGGAAUUUUGCGCAAUGGGCGAAAGCCUGACGCAGCAACGCCCGCGUGAUCGCAGACGGCCUUCGGGUUGUAAAGAUCUGUCAGCAGGGACGAACAAUGACUGUACCUGCAGAGGAAGCACCGGCUAACUCCGUGCCAGCCGCAGC
Molecule: ribosomal RNA, 480 nt
Filed under: uncultured bacterium
Lineage: Bacteria
Description: bacterial SSU rRNA
Rfam family: Bacterial small subunit ribosomal RNA
Source: RNAcentral